CAAGUCCAUUGCUCUUUUUAAAGAAUGGAAUAUUAGUUAGUUUGUCCAAAGAUGACUAAAGGAGGGAAGCUAUCUGUUCUCAUUGCCUUGUGGAGACAUGGGAUCCAUAUGUCCACUUCACGUUGAUUGCUAGUAGACUUCACAGAUUUAUUAGAAUACAAUCAAUUACAUCUGUAGAUUUAUUGCUUGAUUAAUUAUGAGA
This 202-nucleotide long non-coding RNA is filed under the name Elaeis guineensis (African oil palm). RNAcentral describes it as "long non-coding RNA (EGUI_LNC038591)". The record is from RNAcentral. Lineage: Eukaryota; Viridiplantae; Streptophyta; Magnoliopsida; Arecales; Arecaceae.